GGGUCAGUGACAAGUGUGUAAUGGAAACUUCUUUUUCUUGUUUCCAGAUUAACGGACCUGCUUCCACAGAUAUCUACCGUGUAAAACAAAAGCCUACUGCAAAUUUUAGCUUCGUUGCUCCAAAACAUGGGAACUACGAAUUUUGUUUUGAUACCUCUAAUACCAGAAAUGUUAAGAAGGUAGAGUUUACCAUUGACAUUGGUGAAACUCCAACACAGGAUGAGCCAGUAGAAGAGGAGGAGCCGAGUUUUUCCUGUCCCUCCAUUUCUAGCAACGCAAACCCUCUGAUUAAAGAAGUAUUGUCUACUGUUCUGCAGUUCCAAGCUUUUGUCAGCCAAACAUUGCAAAGAUUUGAAGAGAAAGUCUCCAGAUUGGAGGAUGCCGUAAGCAAAAUCAAAACUGGCAAUAGCCCAUCUAAUUAGAGGCUGACUUGAAACCCUGUCUGUAGAAGAAAACAACAAANUUAUCUUUAAAAAAUACAGCUAGUACAAUCCAAAGUUUCUAUAUGCGUGCAUAGCACAGCUCUGUGCCAAUCACUUGUAACAUUGGCACAACAUUUUUAAAUAAAUGCUUAUUGAGAAAUCA
RNAcentral lists this long non-coding RNA (585 nucleotides) under Salvator merianae (Argentine black and white tegu). RNAcentral's name for it is "lncRNA (ENSSMRG00000018546.1)". The record is from RNAcentral. Lineage: Eukaryota; Metazoa; Chordata; Lepidosauria; Squamata; Teiidae.